RNAcentral lists this ribosomal RNA (483 nucleotides) under uncultured bacterium. Its description in RNAcentral is "partial 16S ribosomal RNA". It matches the Rfam family "Bacterial small subunit ribosomal RNA", at positions 30 to 507 of the family's 1533-position model. The record is from RNAcentral.
AUUGAACGCUGGCGGCAGGCCUAACACAUGCAAGUCGAGCGGAUGAAGGGAGCUUGCUCCUGGAUUCAGCGGCGGACGGGUGAGUAAUGCCUAGGAAUCUGCCUGGUAGUGGGGGAUAACGUCCGGAAACGGGCGCUAAUACCGCAUACGUCCUGAGGGAGAAAGUGGGGGAUCUUCGGACCUCACGCUAUCAGAUGAGCCUAGGUCGGAUUAGCUAGUUGGUGGGGUAAAGGCCUACCAAGGCGACGAUCCGUAACUGGUCUGAGAGGAUGAUCAGUCACACGGGAACUGAGAACCGUGCCAGACCCCUACGGGAGGCAGCAGUGGGAAAUAUUGGACAAGGGGCGAAAGCCUAUUCCAGCCAUGCCGCGGGGGUGAAGAAGGGCUUCGGAUUGUAAAGCACUUAAGUUGGGAGGAAGGGCAGUAAGUUAAUACCUUGCUGUUUUGACGUUACCAACAGAAUAAGCACCGGCUAACUUCGUG